This 45-nucleotide non-coding RNA is filed under the name Schistosoma mansoni. Lineage: Eukaryota; Metazoa; Platyhelminthes; Trematoda; Strigeidida; Schistosomatidae. The record is from RNAcentral.
AUCUAGCUGACGAGUUUCAAAUAGAACGAAAUGCAUAUUCUGGAU